Meleagris gallopavo (turkey) is the source of this 322-nucleotide non-coding RNA. The record is from RefSeq and is a predicted model, not a curated record. Lineage: Eukaryota; Metazoa; Chordata; Aves; Galliformes; Phasianidae.
UGGUGGAGCAGUGCUCUCGACGCCUUUGGCCCCACUGGGUUUUGUACUGUGUCCACUGCCUCUUCAAAGCCCCUUGUACCUGUUAAGUGCUCCAGAUGAAUGCUGUAGUCUGGUUACCCUAGAAGCUACAUGAAGCACAACAGUUAACCAUGGUUACAUGAAGCAGGAAGAACAAAGACAUUCAAUCUUGCAAAGUCUGCCAGGAGACAUAGUUUUGUUCUCAGAAGGCAAUGGUGCUGAGAUACGUACCUCACCAUUGAAGAAGCAGAAUAUAGUUGCCACAAGCAAGCCCUAAGAGGAAGAAAAUGAAAAGCACUUAAGG